Long non-coding RNA from Ipomoea triloba (trilobed morning glory), 424 nucleotides. RefSeq lists it as uncharacterized. The record is from RefSeq and is a predicted model, not a curated record. Lineage: Eukaryota; Viridiplantae; Streptophyta; Magnoliopsida; Solanales; Convolvulaceae. The transcript is spliced from 4 exons.
CCCAUAAGGGAGUAGACCAGUAGCUUCCUUCGUUCAACUUACCAGAGAAAUUUCUGUGCAGAGUUGUGAAUGUUCGUCUUCAGGCUGAACCUGAGACAGAUGAGGUGUAUGCACAAAUAUAUUUGUUAUUAGUCCACACAAUAACAUAGAUUAUUGCCAAAGCUUCUGUCCUCAUUGCCUCCAUUCUCACCAAUCUCAUCCCCUUCUUCAGCUAGGAAAUUCAGGAGAUGCUAAUGCCAAAGACUCUAAAGGUUAUAAUGUUGCAAAUAGACAAGCAAAUAGAGGAACCUCAACAUAUCCCACUGGCAAGUUUUAUUGCCAGAAUGCCGAACAUCCGCCCCUCCUUAUAUAUUCCUUGAGUGUUAAUUAUUGCAUCUACGGUAUGAAUCCUUACAUUCUUGUCAUUUGGUUUAUUAGCUUCUUU